GUCCGGAUGACGAGUCUCAAAUAAGAUGAAAUGCACAUUCUGGAU
This 45-nucleotide non-coding RNA is filed under the name Trichobilharzia regenti. The record is from RNAcentral. Lineage: Eukaryota; Metazoa; Platyhelminthes; Trematoda; Strigeidida; Schistosomatidae.